GGCUGGUCCGAUGGUAGUGGGUUAUCAGAACUUAUUUACAUUAGUGUCACUAAAGUUGGUAUUCAACCCCCCACUGCUAAAUUUGACUGGCUUUAA
This 96-nucleotide Y RNA is filed under the name Microcebus murinus (gray mouse lemur). RNAcentral's name for it is "Y RNA (ENSMICG00000046632.1)". It matches the Rfam family "Y RNA". From Rfam's summary of the family: Y RNAs are components of the Ro ribonucleoprotein particle (Ro RNP), in association with Ro60 and La proteins. The record is from Rfam by way of RNAcentral. Lineage: Eukaryota; Metazoa; Chordata; Mammalia; Primates; Cheirogaleidae.